Non-coding RNA from Pelobates cultripes (western spadefoot toad), 470 nucleotides. The record is from the annotation of a GenBank genome assembly. NCBI's taxonomy places the organism in Eukaryota, Metazoa, Chordata, Amphibia, Anura, Pelobatidae.
UUCCUGUGCAGCCCCUCCAUUUCACCAACUUCUUCCCCUGCAGCCCCUCCAUUUGUCUACAUUAUAAUUUUUAGCUAAAGACUUUGAUGUGAGGGUUGAUAAGUUGCUUGGUGUGAUGGCACAAACAAGGAAAAUAUUGGAUUUACAAAUAAGGCGUCCUGGGCCAUUUAUUUCUGGAUACUUCAAUAAAGCAAUUUUGCAGAAAAGAAAAUCAAAUCCUUUUGAUAUGUGAAAAAAGUAUAACACCAUGAAGAUUUUAAAUUCUUCAUGUGAGGACCUGCUUUGUAUUGCUUUGAAAUGAUAAAUAGUUAAAGGGUUACUCCAAUCACCAUGAACACUAUACCUGCUGUAGUGGUUAUGAUGCCAGUAGUAUCCUGGUAUUGUGGUACCCUGGUAAUGAGGCUUACUGGUAAUUCCCAGGUAAUGGAGUAAACCUUUUUGUAACAGUUUAUCUUUUUCUUGGAUCUCAC